UACAGAGGGUGCGAGCGUUAAUCGGAAUUACUGGGCGUAAAGCGUGCGUAGACGGCUAUCUAAGUCGGGUGUGAAAGCCCCGGGCUCAACCUGGGAAUUGCAUUCGAGACUGAAUAGCUAGGGUACGGUAGAGGGAAGCGGAAUUUCCGGUGUAGCGGUGAAAUGCGUAGAUAUCGGAGGAACACCGAUGGCGAAGGCAAUCCCCUGGACCUGUACUGACGCUCAUGCACGAAAGCGUGGGGAGCAAACAGG
RNAcentral lists this ribosomal RNA (252 nucleotides) under uncultured bacterium. RNAcentral's name for it is "partial 16S ribosomal RNA". It matches the Rfam family "Bacterial small subunit ribosomal RNA", at positions 524 to 776 of the family's 1533-position model. The record is from RNAcentral.